RNAcentral lists this ribosomal RNA (253 nucleotides) under uncultured bacterium. Its description in RNAcentral is "partial 16S ribosomal RNA". It matches the Rfam family "Bacterial small subunit ribosomal RNA", at positions 524 to 776 of the family's 1533-position model. The record is from RNAcentral.
GACGAAGGGGGCUAGCGUUGUUCGGAAUUACUGGGCGUAAAGCGCGUGUAGGCGGUUGCCCAAGUCGGGGGCGAAAGCCUUGAGCUCAACUCAAGAAAUGCACUCGGUACUGGGUGACUAGAGGAUCGGAGAGGAUAGUGGAAUUCCCAGUGUAGUGGUGAAAUACGUAGAGAUUGGGAAGAACACCAGUGGCGAAGGCGGCUAUCUGGACGGUUUCUGACGCUAAGACGCGAAAGCGUGGGGAGCAAACAGG